This 491-nucleotide long non-coding RNA is filed under the name Homo sapiens (human). RNAcentral's name for it is "HSALNT0360971". Lineage: Eukaryota; Metazoa; Chordata; Mammalia; Primates; Hominidae. The record is from RNAcentral.
AGAGCAGCGUGAGCGUGGCUGGCCUGGCAGGUCCCACCCUGGCCCUCUGGGGAGGCAGCCCUGGGGCGAGCCAGCCCCACCGUGCACACAUUGCAGCCACAGCACAGGAUGACCAGGACCUUACAGAGGAGCCUUAAGGGCAAAGAUGGAGGUGGAAGGUGACCCCUGCAGCCUGAGGCUUUUAGGGCCUUUCUGCUCCUCCUAACCCAAAGAUGCCCAGCAAAGACAAAUGAAGCCCACCCAAGACCCCGAGCGCGACCACUCUGUGGAGAGCCACCCGGCCUCCGAGGGCAGGGCCAAGCACCCCAGAUGGGCAGUGACCCCUCCCUCACGAGGGUGGGCAGGAGAGAGCGCCUGUCCAGUGAAGGCGGCCAGGCAGGCCCACGGGUGAGCGGACGUCCGUGCUGUGCGCGUGGACAUGUCCUGUCUACGUGAGGAGGCUGGAUUCUCGGGGCUGGGCCGUGUGGGGUUGGGAGGGCUGCCCGCCUCCC